This 301-nucleotide ribosomal RNA is filed under the name uncultured bacterium. RNAcentral describes it as "partial 16S ribosomal RNA". It matches the Rfam family "Bacterial small subunit ribosomal RNA", at positions 509 to 807 of the family's 1533-position model. The record is from RNAcentral.
CAGCAGCCACGGUAAUACGAAGGGGGCUAGCGUUGUUCGGAAUUACUGGGCGUAAAGCGCACGUAGGCGGAUAUUUAAGUCAGGGGUGAAAUCCCGCAGCUCAACUGCGGAACUGCCUUUGAUACUGGGUAUCUUGAGUAUGGAAGAGGUUAGUGGAAUUGCGAGUGUAGAGGUGAAAUUCGUAGAUAUUCGCAGAAACACCAGUGGCGAAGGCGGCUAACUGGUCCAUAACUGACGCUGAGGUGCGAAAGCGUGGGGAGCAAACAGGAUUAGAUACCCCAGUAGUCCCUGUCUCUUAUAC